This 955-nucleotide long non-coding RNA is filed under the name Brassica napus (rape). RNAcentral's name for it is "long non-coding RNA (BNAP_LNC009766)". Lineage: Eukaryota; Viridiplantae; Streptophyta; Magnoliopsida; Brassicales; Brassicaceae. The record is from RNAcentral.
CACUCAUGAAGGACUGAACUGUGUUAGUAAUGUGAUUGAUAUAGUUUGUGGUGUUGCUUGCUGUGUCACUGAAAUUUAUUGUUUGUUUGUCUUUUUAAUUUGUUACUUGUACUGUUGAGAUUACAUAAAUUAUAUUAAGGUUGUUGAGAGUACAUUUUGUUUCUGGAUAUUUUUUCUCCAGUUUAGUUGUGUAACUUGUGUGUAUUAAGUAAUAAUUUUUUUUAUUCUUAUUAUGUUGGUUAUAUGUUUCUUUAUUUUUAAACUUGUUGGUUUUACCGGACAUUUAAAACAAAUACAUGAAGAUUUGUAGAAAUAACUAUAAAAUGAGUGAAUUAAUAUUUGGGCCUUAAUGGGUUUUAAACGAAUAUAUGUAUUUCUCAUAAGAAGACAAUAGCAUUGACAUGUUGACCUUGAGCAUGUAAGCUAUUUUCAUAAGACAAGAGGAGUGAGCAGGUGGAGAUGUUGUUGCCGCCUUUGUGUCUAUUGAGAUUGUCUCUUGUAUCUCCUGGUAUGGUUGUUUUUGUUUAUCUUUUAUUUGAUGGGUAAUAUGUAAACAAAAAUCAUUAUUAGUUGUAUUUAUCAGAGUUAUUAAUUUAUUUUGCAUUUUUGUUUAUGUAAUUUCAUUGAUCUUGGUUGUCGUCUUCUUCUUCUUCGUAAGCAUCUGCGAAAGUAAGUUUGUAAAUUGUUAAAUAGCUGGCCGUGUAGUUUGUAUUUGUUUAGCUGGCUCAAUGUAUGUGUUGUUCAGUUUUAGUUGAGUUGAUUGGUUUGGUAUAUCUGUUUUGAAGUUUAUUUGUAGGAUUAGACAAAAAGAGAAGUGAUCAUUAAUGAUUCGUCUGUUUUGGGAUUCUACUUUUUGGUGUUUUGAUUGUUUGGGCUAUUAUGGUUUUUUUAAGUUGUAAAAUAAAGAUUUGUGUAAAAUUAGAUUGAUAAGUAAUGGAGAUAAAUAGACGACCAC